UAGGGAAUCUUCGGCAAUGGACGAAAGUCUGACCGAGCAACGCCGCGUGAGUGAAGAAGGUUUUCGGAUCGUAAAACUCUGUUGUUAGAGAAGAACAAGGACGUUAGUAACUGAACGUCCCCUGACGGUAUCUAACCAGAAAGCCACGGCUAACUACGUGCCAGCAGCCGCGGUAAUACGUAGGUGGCAAGCGUUGUCCGGAUUUAUUGGGCGUAAAGCGAGCGCAGGCGGUUUCUUAAGUCUGAUGUGAAAGCCCCCGGCUCAACCGGGGAGGGUCAUUGGAAACUGGGAGACUUGAGUGCAGAAGAGGAGGGGGGAAUUCCAGGUGUGGCGGUGAAAUGCGUAGAAAUAUGGAGGAACACCAGUGGCGAAGGCGGCUCUCUGGUCUGUAACUGACGCUGAGGCUCGAAAGCGUGGGGAGCAAACAGG
Molecule: ribosomal RNA, 429 nt
Filed under: Gemmatimonadota bacterium
Lineage: Bacteria; Pseudomonadati; Gemmatimonadota
Description: Gemmatimonadetes bacterium partial 16S ribosomal RNA
Rfam family: Bacterial small subunit ribosomal RNA
Source: RNAcentral